GGUUAAGCGACUAAGCGUACACGGUGGAUGCCCUGGCAGUCAGAGGCGAUGAAGGACGUGCUAAUCUGCGAUAAGCGUCGGUAAGGUGAUAUGAACCGUUAUAACCGGCGAUUUCCGAAUGGGGAAACCCAGUGUGAUCCGUCACACUAUCAUUACGUGAAUACAUAGCGUAAUGAAGCGAACCGGGGGAACUGAAACAUCUAAGUACCCCGAGGAAAAGAAAUCAACCGAGAUUCCCCCAGUAGCGGCGAGCGAACGGGGAGCAGCCCAGAGUCUGAAUCAGCUUGUGUGUUAGUGGAACGGUCUGGAAAGUCCGACGGUACAGGGUGAUAGUCCCGUACACCAAAAUGCACAGGUUGUGAGCUCGAAGAGUAGGGCGGGACACGUGGUAUCCUGUCUGAAUAUGGGGGGACCAUCCUCCAAGGCUAAAUACUCCUGACUGACCGAUAGUGAACCAGUACCGUGAGGGAAAGGCGAAAAAGAACCCCGGCGAGGGGAGUGAAAAAGAACCUGAAACCGUGUACGUACAAGCAGUGGGAGCCUCUUUAUGGGGUGACUGCGUACCUUUUGUAUAAUGGGUCAGCGACUUAUAUUCUGUAGCAAGGUUAACCGUAUAGGGGAGCCGAAGGGAAACCGAGUCUUAACUGGGCGUUAAGUUGCAGGGUAUAGACCCGAAACCCGGUGAUCUAGCCAUGGGCAGGUUGAAGGUUGGGUAACACUAACUGGAGGACCGAACCGACUAAUGUUGAAAAAUUAGCGGAUGACUUGUGGCUGGGGGUGAAAGGCCAAUCAAACCGGGAGAUAGCUGGUUCUCCCCGAAAGCUAUUUAGGUAGCGCCUCGUGAAUUCAUCUUCGGGGGUAGAGCACUGUUUCGGCUAGGGGGUCAUCCCGACUUACCAACCCGAUGCAAACUGCGAAUACCGAAGAAUGUUAUCACGGGAGACACACGGCGGGUGCUAACGUCCGUCGUGAAGAGGGAAACAACCCAGACCGCCAGCUAAGGUCCCAAAGUCAUGGUUAAGUGGGAAACGAUGUGGGAAGGCACAGACAGCCAGGAUGUUGGCUUAGAAGCAGCCAUCAUUUAAAGAAAGCGUAAUAGCUCACUGGUCGAGUCGGCCUGCGCGGAAGAUGUAACGGGGCUAAACCAUGCACCGAAGCUGCGGCAGCGACACUAUGUGUUGUUGGGUAGGGGAGCGUUCUGUAAGCCGUUGAAGGUGUACUGUGAGGUAUGCUGGAGGUAUCAGAAGUGCGAAUGCUGACAUAAGUAACGAUAAUGCGGGUGAAAAACCCGCACGCCGGAAGACCAAGGGUUCCUGUCCAACGUUAAUCGGGGCAGGGUGAGUCGACCCCUAAGGCGAGGCCGAAAGGCGUAGUCGAUGGGAAACAGGUUAAUAUUCCUGUACUUGGUGUUACUGCGAAGGGGGGACGGAGAAGGCUAUGUUAGCCGGGCGACGGUUGUCCCGGUUUAAGCAUGUAGGCGGAGGUUCCAGGUAAAUCCGGUACCUUUUUAACGCUGAGGUGUGAUGACGAGGCACUACGGUGCUGAAGUAACAAAUGCCCUGCUUCCAGGAAAAGCCUCUAAGCAUCAGGUAACACGAAAUCGUACCCCAAACCGACACAGGUGGUCAGGUAGAGAAUACCAAGGCGCUUGAGAGAACUCGGGUGAAGGAACUAGGCAAAAUGGUGCCGUAACUUCGGGAGAAGGCACGCUGAUAUGUAGGUGAAGCGGUUUACCCGUGGAGCUGAAAUCAGUCGAAGAUACCAGCUGGCUGCAACUGUUUAUUAAAAACACAGCACUGUGCAAACACGAAAGUGGACGUAUACGGUGUGACGCCUGCCCGGUGCCGGAAGGUUAAUUGAUGGGGUUAUCCGUAAGGAGAAGCUCUUGAUCGAAGCCCCGGUAAACGGCGGCCGUAACUAUAACGGUCCUAAGGUAGCGAAAUUCCUUGUCGGGUAAGUUCCGACCUGCACGAAUGGCGUAAUGAUGGCCAGGCUGUCUCCACCCGAGACUCAGUGAAAUUGAACUCGCUGUGAAGAUGCAGUGUACCCGCGGCAAGACGGAAAGACCCCGUGAACCUUUACUAUAGCUUGACACUGAACACUGGUCCUUGAUGUGUAGGAUAGGUGGG
This is a non-coding RNA of Escherichia coli ISC11, 2129 nucleotides long. NCBI's taxonomy places the organism in Bacteria, Pseudomonadati, Pseudomonadota, Gammaproteobacteria, Enterobacterales, Enterobacteriaceae. The record is from Rfam.